RNAcentral lists this ribosomal RNA (752 nucleotides) under uncultured bacterium. RNAcentral's name for it is "bacterial SSU rRNA". It matches the Rfam family "Bacterial small subunit ribosomal RNA", at positions 28 to 796 of the family's 1533-position model. The record is from RNAcentral.
GAUGAACGCUGGCGGCGUGCUUAACACAUGCAAGUCGAACGAUUAACCCAGACUUCGGUCUGGUUAUAGAGUGGCGAACGGGUGAGUAACACGUGACCAACCUGCCCCUUGGAUCGGGAUAACGCAAGGAAACCUGCGCUAAUACCGGAUACUCCGAAGCUUUCGCAUGAAGGCUUCGGGAAAGCUCCGGCGCCAAGGGAUGGGGUCGCGGCCUAUUAGGUAGUUGGUGGGGUAACGGCCUACCAAGCCGAUGAUAGGUAGCCGGGUUGAGAGACCGAUCGGCCACAUUGGGACUGAGAUACGGCCCAGACUCCUACGGGAGGCAGCAGUGGGGAAUUUUGCGCAAUGGGGGCAACCCUGACGCAGCAACGCCGCGUGCGGGAUGAAGGUCUUCGGAUUGUAAACCGCUUUCAGUAGGGAAUAUUAUGAAGGUACCUACAGAAGAAGCACCGGCUAAAUACGUGCCAGCAGCCGCGGUAAUACGUAUGGUGCGAGCGUUAUCCGGAAUCAUUGGGCGUAAAGCGCGCGUAGGCGGCUUGUUAAGCAGGAAUUCAAAUCUUGGGGCUCAACCUCAAGCCGGUUCCUGAACUGGCAGGCUCGAGUGCGGUAGAGGAAGGUGGAAUUCCCAGUGUAGCGGUGAAAUGCGCAGAUAUUGGGAAGAACACCGAUGGCGAAGGCAGCCUUCUGGGCCGCCACUGACGCUGAGGCGCGAAAGCUAGGGGAGCGAACAGGAUUAGAUACCCUGGUAGUCC